Molecule: long non-coding RNA, 1846 nt
Organism: Equus caballus (horse)
Lineage: Eukaryota; Metazoa; Chordata; Mammalia; Perissodactyla; Equidae
Source: Ensembl
CUUCCAGUAAUGGCCAAUGCUAUUGCUGCUUUCCAAGCCAGUGGCAGGAGGUUACCCCCAGGAACUACCUAGUCCCUGAAAUCAUUUACCAGCCAACUAGCUCCCUUCCAUAGGCAGAGAUGAGGUAUAAACACACGCCCAUGAGAGAGAAAAAAAGCAAUGACUCAAAUUCAUAUGCACAUAGAAAUGAUUUUUUUGAGAGCAAGUUGUAAGAAGUGGGGAUAAAGACAGAACGAGGCAAAUGGAUAUUCAUAAAAGAAGGAUUCGAAGAGGCGUAUGGUGGGAGAGGGCAUUGAGGGCACUGAAGAUAAAGUUUUCCAAGUUUUUAAAUUUGCCAUGUUCGCUGGCUGAAGUCAUGGUUAAUUUUUUUCUCAUUACAGCUUUGAUUUUCAGAAAAGAUACAAUACCAUAUAUGGUAGCAGAUCAGCGACAUACUUUUUGGUCUGGUUUUUAUUUAACCAAGAAGAGCCUCCAAAGGUUUGAUGUAAGUUGGGGAUCCAUACCUCCACCACAUCGCUUUGAACAUCAGUAUCCACUUCAGCAUGACUUUCAUGAUUUUGAUCCUCCGGCCCUUGAAGAAAUGCUACUUGGAACAUAUGAGUGUGGAGCAUGCCAUCCCACCGGGGGAUAUCAUUUCCUGGGGGUGUUUGCCUGAUUGUACAACUCCUACCAUAGUUUUUAAAAUCAAAUCUACAUGGUACCUCUAUUGUUUUUGCACUUAUUUUCUUUGCUGAGGAAGAUUCACCCUGAGCUAACAUCCAUUGCUAAUCCUCCUCUUUCUUUUUUUUGCUUUAGGAAGAUUAGCCCUGAACUAACAACUAUGCCAACCUUCCUCUUUUUUUUGUAUGUGAGACACCUCCACAGUGCAUCUGGUGAGUGGAGCAUGUCUGCACCUGGGAUCUGAAACUGUGAACCAGGGCGCCAAAGCAGAGUGCAAUUUUUGCAUUUUUAUAUCUUCUUAUUGUGUUCUAAUUUGUUUAUUUUUCUGACUUCACUAAACUCAAAGGCUAGGUUAUGCCUAUUUCUUCUUUCCCUUUUGAGUUGUCUACCAUUAAAACUUAAGAUUCAUUAGGAAAGAUAUUCUGUGCUCAUGGAUUGGAAAAAUUAACAUGGUCAAAAUGUCCAUAAUAUCUAAGGCAAUCUACAGGUUCAAUGCAAUCCCAAUGACAUUUUUCACAGAAAUAGAACAAAGAAUCCUAAAAUUUAUGAGGAACAACAAACUGAACAGCCAAAGCAAUAAAAAGAACAAUCUGGAGGCAUCACACUCCCUGAUUUCAAAAUAUGCUACAAAGCUAUAGUAACCAAAACAGCAUGGAAUUAGCAGAAAAACAGACACACACAUCAAUGGAACAGAAUUGAGAGCUCAGAAAUAAACCUACACAUCUAUAGAUAGCUAAUUUUCAACAAAGGAGCCAAAAACCUACAAUGGAGAAAGUCUCUUCCAUAAAUGGUGUUGGGAAAACUGGACAGCCACAUGCAAAUAAUGAAAGUAGACCAUUAUCUUACACCAUACACAAAAAGUAACUCAAAAUUGAUUAAAGACUUGAAUGUAAGACCUGGAACCAUUAAACUUCUACAAGAAAACAUAGGCAAUAUGCUCUUUGACACAGGUCUUAGCGGUAUCUUUUUGAAUAUCAUGUCUCCUCAGGCAAGGAAAAGAAAAGAAAAGGUAAACAAGUGGCACUACAUCAAACUAAAAAGCUUCUACAUGGCAUAGGAAGCCAUCAACAAAAUGAAAAGACAACACACCAACAGGGAGAAAAUAUUUGCAAAUUGUAUAUCCAAUAAGGGGUUAAUAUCCAAACUAUAUAAAGGACUUAUACAACUCAACAACAACAACAAAUCC